UAACUUCGGAUUAGGUAGGAAUACCCGUUGAAUUUAAAUAUAUUAAUAAGUAGAAGAAAAAAAAUUAAUAGGGAUUGCCCUAGUAAUAGCGAAUAAAGUAGUAAUAAUUCAAAUUUAAAAUCUAGCUUUGGCCCGAAUUGUAAUUUAUAGAGGAAGUUUUUAGUAAGGCACUUUCUAAAUCCCUUAGAACGGGGCGCUAUAGAGAGUGAGAGCCCUAUAUAGUCGGAUGUUAAUUUAAUAUAAAAUUCCUUUAACGAAUCGAAUAGUUUAGGAAUACUACUUAAAAUAGGAGGUAAAUUUCUUCUAAAGCUAAAUAUUGGUUAGAGACCGAUAAUAUAUAAAUAGAGUAAUUGAAAAAUAAAAAGUACUUUGAAAAGAGGGUUAAAUAAUAUAUAAAAUUAUUAAAAGGGAAGUAUUUAUAAUUAGAUUUACACCGUUCCAAUUAUUUAAUAUUCUUAUUAGUAUAUUUAGGAUAGUUUAAACUAAUAUUGGUUUUAGUAGGGGGAUAAAGGUCUAAGGAAUAUAGCUCUUCUAGGAAUAUUAUAGCCCCGGGCGUAAUACCUUCGCCGGGAUUGAGGUUCGUAUAUUUAUAAGGAUAUUAAUAUAAUAAUUAUUAAUAACCCGUUUUAAAAUACAGACUAAAGAAUUAAGGUUUUAUACGAAUAUUUAGGUAUAAAACCCGUACGUAUAAUAAAAAUGAAUAUAAGUAAAAGCUUCGGCGUAUUAUUAAUUAAUUUUAAUAUAUUCGGAUGGAUUUGAGUAAGAAUAUUAAACUUUAGACCCGAAAGAUAGUAAAUUAUAUUUAGAUAGGGUAAAGUUAGAGGAAAUUUUAGUAGAGGUUUGUAGCGGUUCUAAUAUACAAAUCGAUUAUUAAAUUUAAAUAUAGGGGCGAAAGAUUAAUUAAAUUAUUUAGUAGCUAAUUACCGCCGAAGUUUCCCUUAGAAUAAUAAUAUUAUUCUUUAAUUUUAUAAGGUAAAGCGAAUAAUUAGAGACUCGGGGGCGCUUUUUAGCUUUUAUCUAUUCUUAAACUUUAAAUAUAUAAGAAGCCCUUAUUAUUUAAUUGAAUAUAGGUAUUCGAAUAUAUUAAUAUUAGUAGGCUAUUUUUAGUAAAUAAAAUUAGCGAUGUGGAAUAAACCGAACGCGGGGUUAAAGUACUAGAGUAGACGCUUAUUAGAUACUAUAAAAGGCGUUAGUAUAUUUUAAUAGUAGGACGGUAGCUAUGGAAGUCGGAAUUUACUAAGGAUUAUAUAAUAAUUUACUUACUAAAUAUAUUAGUUUUAAAAAUAGAUAGCGCUUAAACGUCCUACUUAUACUCCGCCUUUAGGGUAGAAAUAAUAUUUUAAAGAGUAAGCGGUUAUAGAAGUUAGUAACGAAAUUUAGGGCGUAAACCUAAGUCGAACGGCCUCUAGUGUAAAUUUUAGUAGUAGUAGUAAAUAUUUUAAUAAGAAUUUGAAGGACCGAAGUAGGGAAAGGUUCUAUAUAAAUAGCGGUUGGAUAUAAAUUAGUCGAUCCUAAACUAUAAAAAAAUUCUAUUUCAAAGGGGUACUUAUAUUUUAUAUAGUAAAAGGGAAACCGAUUAAUAUUCUGGUACUUAAAUAUAAGUUUUAUAUAGUAAUAUAAUUAAAUAUAGAGAUAAUAGUGGGGGCCCCGGGUAGAAUUCUCUUUUCUUUUUAAUAGUUUAUUAUUUUAAAAAUAGUUUAUUUGGAGAUAGGGUUUAAUAGUUGGAAGAGCCUAAUACUUCUAUUAAGUCUAGUACGUUUUCGACGUUCUUUAAAAAUCUAUGGGAGGGAAUAAUUCUUAUAUUAAGUUGUACUUAUAAUUGUAAUAGGUUUCUAAAGUAAAUAGCUUCUAGUUAAUAGAAUAAUAUAGAUAAGGGAAGUUGGUAAAAUAGAUUUAUAAUUUUAGGAAAAGGAUUAGCUCUAAGGGUUAAGUACGUUAGGCUUUAAAUAAACGCUUUAGGAGUAAAUUACUAUUAGCUAAGUAACCGGCCGGCGGCUUUUAAUAUUUAAGUAUAGAAGCCCUUAAUAGAUUUUAAUUGUCCAGCGUACAUUUAAUAACUAAUUUAGAAUUAGUAUAAAUAGGGGGAAUUUAAUUAUCUAAUUAAAAUAUAGUAUUAUAAUGGUUAGAAAGUGGUAUUAAUAUAAUAUAAUUUUUACUUAAUAUUUUAAAUAUUAAAAUAAAGAAAUUUAAUUAAGUGCGGGUAAAUGGUAGAAGUAACUAUAAUUCUCUUAAGGUAGUUAAAUACUUCGUUAUUUAAUUAGUAAUAUAUAUAAAUAGAUUAAUAAAAUUCCUAUUAUCCUUAUCUACUAUCUAGCGAAACUAUAAUUAAGGGAACGGGCUUAGUAGAAUUAGCGGGGAAAGAAGACCCUAUUAAAUUUAAUUCUAAUUUAAUAUUAUAAAAAGAUAUAGGAGGUAUAGAAUAGGUAGGAACUUCGGCGCUAGUAAAAUACUACUAUUCCUAUUAUUUUUUUACUUAUUUAAUUAAGUAGGGCUAGAUUUUCGUCUAAUUUCUAGUUUUAAGGUCCUUCGCGGGCCGACCCGGGUUAAAGAUAUUAUUAAGUAGGGAGUUUAGCUAGGGCGGUAUAUUUAUUAAAUUAUAAUAUAGGUAUUUUAAGGGGGGUUUAUAGAGAAUAGAAAUCUCUAGUAGAAUAAAAGGGUAAAAGUCCCUUUGAUUUUAAUUUUUAGUAUAAAUAUAAAUUAUAAAAGUGUAGCCUAUUAAUCCUUUAGUCCCUCGAAAUUUGAGGCUAGAGGUGCCAGAAAAGUUAUUAUAGGGAUAAUUGGCUUGUAGUAGCUAAGUAUUUAUAGCGAUGUUGCUUUUUAAUCUUUUAAUAUUAGUUCUUCCUAUUAUAUUAAAGUAGAAUUUAGUAAAUAUUAGAUUAUUUACUUAUUAAUAAGGAAUAUAAAUUAGGUUUAGACUAUUAUAAGAUAGGUUAAUUUUACCCUACUAAUAACUUUAUUAUAAUAGUAAUUGAAUUUAAUAUAAGAGGAACCGUUUAUUUAAAUAAUUAGUUUUUGUAAUUAUUUAAUUAGGUAGUACUACAAUACUACUAUUUAUUAGAUAAUAGUUGAACGCUUCUAAAUUAAAAUCUAUAUUAGAACGCAAUAAUACCUCUAGCAUAUUAUAAAUGUAUAAAAAUAGGCUCCAACUUCGUAUUUUAGUAGGCAAUUCCUUUAUUAGUUUUAAAAUAGCUAGUAGUAAUUUGCGUAUUAUAAUUUUAAUACGCAUUAAAUCAAAUUUUUUAUAAACAAUUUAAAUAUACGAAAGGGUCUUAUAAGUAAUAAAGUAGUUUUAUUAUUAUAAUUUAUUAAAAGUAAGCCCUCUUUCGUUUAAAUUUCC
Neurospora crassa OR74A is the source of this 3337-nucleotide ribosomal RNA. It matches the Rfam family "Eukaryotic large subunit ribosomal RNA". NCBI's taxonomy places the organism in Eukaryota, Fungi, Ascomycota, Sordariomycetes, Sordariales, Sordariaceae. The record is from Rfam.